Molecule: long non-coding RNA, 1146 nt
Organism: Dioscorea cayenensis subsp. rotundata (Guinea yam)
Lineage: Eukaryota; Viridiplantae; Streptophyta; Magnoliopsida; Dioscoreales; Dioscoreaceae
Exons: 6
Source: RefSeq, a predicted model, not a curated record
CGAAUUUGGUAGUUUCGAUUGGAUGAUGGAAAUGGCGAAAUGAAGAGAUGGGGGACGAUGAGGCUUUCGUUGGCGCUUCACAGCGGCGCGGAGGUGCUUGUGGGCGUAAGGGGCCGAGAUUUGGAACGCCGGGGAGAUGCUGGCGACCUUGGGUGAUGACCAGCAGAUGGAGGUUGGGAUUGGCCAGACGUUGAUAGGGAGUGGCUCGGAGUUGCAGGAGAUGGUGAGCUGGAGGAUGAGGAGGAUGUUCAGCUUCAUUAUCGCCGCCAUGGUGUUUGAUGAAAUGCCUCUGAUAAUUGCAGCAAUAAAAGCAAGCUGUAUGCAAAAAAUCUGCCCAUGUAUCAUAAUGCUGAUUUAGAAGGUAUUGCUGCAUUAUGCAAUGGAUAUGCUGGUGCGAAUUUGGUUGGUGAUUUUGCAAGAUCUGAGGUAGGUGCAAGUAUUACAAGAGGUGCUUGUGCUUCUAAGGAAGUUUCAAAGUUCUCAUGGGAUGAUAUCAGGGUACUAAAAAGUUUAAGGGAUAUCACUGGUGUGGCGUAUUCUCUUACAUGGACCUUUGGGCUGCUCAAAGUAUGUUGGGGAAGGAUAACCCUUGCUAUGUUUAACAUUUCCAAAAGCACGUUUGGCAGCACCAAGUAUCAUAUUCUUUGAUAAGGCUGUGGCAGUUGCUCCUAAAUGGUUGAAGAUGUUGCAUCUGUCGACUGAUGUCAGUGGACAAAAUCUAAACAUCAUGUGACUCAAGAGAUUUGAUUGAUGCUAGCUGGAUCAUUUUUCGGGUGGUGAUCAGGGACCUGGCACUGUCAAAUGGAAUGAAGGUAGUUCAAAGAUGAUCUCUCAUCUACCAUUUUACAUUCUCAGUGAACAAGAAGAUAUCCUUUGACGUCCUGAUCAAGAUUUUGUCGUUUAAAACACAACCUGUUGAAAUGUUUGCAUUGACUUCCAAUCCAUUUAUUUUGAAGAAAAGCCAUUGCAUUGAUGAACGUCUAUAAAAGUCCAUUCUAUGAAGUUAAAGUUUGAGUUAAAUGUGUGGUUUUGUACCUUAAACCGACUUGCAGGUGCUUGACCUUGAUUUGUCUCCUUCCUCUAUGAUUUCACAGCUUAUGUUUACUGACCUUGAUUAAAAAUAAUGAUUCCAAACAUUUCUCAUAA